Molecule: ribosomal RNA, 57 nt
Filed under: Diaporthe nobilis
Lineage: Eukaryota; Fungi; Ascomycota; Sordariomycetes; Diaporthales; Diaporthaceae
Description: partial 18S ribosomal RNA
Source: RNAcentral
CUUGGUCAUUUAGAGGAAGUAAGGAUAGUCUCGUUGGUGACCAGCGGAGGGAUCAUU